GGGGAAUUUUGGACAAUGGGCGCAAGCCUGAUCCAGCCAUUCCGCGUGAGUGAAGAAGGCCUUCGGGUUGUAAAGCUCUUUCAGCAGGAACGAAACGGUGGGUCUUAAUACGGCCUGCUAAUGACGGUACCUGCAGAAGAAGCACCGGCUAACUACGUGCCAGCAGCCGCGGUAAUACGUAGGGUGCGAGCGUUAAUCGGAAUUACUGGGCGUAAAGCGUGCGCAGGCGGCGACAUAAGACAGAUGUGAAAUCCCCGGGCUCAACCUGGGAACGGCGUUUGUGACUGUGUGGCUAGAGUGUAGCAGAGGGGGGUGGAAUUCCACGUGUAGCAGUGAAAUGCGUAGAGAUGUGGAGGAACACCGAUGGCGAAGGCAGCCCCCUGGGUUAACACUGACGCUCAUGCACGAAAGCGUGGGGAGCAAACA
RNAcentral lists this ribosomal RNA (426 nucleotides) under uncultured beta proteobacterium. RNAcentral's name for it is "bacterial SSU rRNA". It matches the Rfam family "Bacterial small subunit ribosomal RNA", at positions 356 to 774 of the family's 1533-position model. Lineage: Bacteria; Pseudomonadati; Pseudomonadota; Betaproteobacteria. The record is from RNAcentral.